AUUGAACGCUGGCGGCAUGCCUUACACAUGCAAGUCGAACGGUAACGGGCCUUCGGGUGCCGACGAGUGGCGAACGGGUGAGUAAUGUAUCGGAACGUACCUUUCAGUGGGGGAUAACGUAGCGAAAGUUACGCUAAUACCGCAUAUUCUGUGCGCAGGAAAGCAGGGGAUCGCAAGACCUUGCGCUGAUUGAGCGGCCGAUAUCAGAUUAGCUAGUUGGUGAGGUAAAGGCUCACCAAGGCGACGAUCUGUAGCGGGUCUGAGAGGAUGAUCCGCCACACUGGAACUGAGACACGGUCCAGACUCCUACGGGAGGCAGCAGUGGGGAAUUUUGGACAAUGGGGGCAACCCUGAUCCAGCCAUGCCGCGUGAGUGAAGAAGGCCUCGGUUGU
This 392-nucleotide ribosomal RNA is filed under the name uncultured bacterium. RNAcentral's name for it is "bacterial SSU rRNA". It matches the Rfam family "Bacterial small subunit ribosomal RNA", at positions 30 to 426 of the family's 1533-position model. The record is from RNAcentral.